RNAcentral lists this ribosomal RNA (496 nucleotides) under uncultured bacterium. Its description in RNAcentral is "partial 16S ribosomal RNA". It matches the Rfam family "Bacterial small subunit ribosomal RNA", at positions 29 to 507 of the family's 1533-position model. The record is from RNAcentral.
AUGAACGCUGGCGGCGUGCCUAAUCCAUGCAAGUCGAGCGAACAGAUGAGGAGCUUGCUCCUCUGACGUUAGCGGCGGACGGGUGAGUAACACGUGGAUAACCUACCUAUAAGACUGGGAUAACUUCGGGAAACCGGAGCUAAUACCGGAUAAUAUAUUGAACCGCAUGGUUCAAUAGUGAAAGACGGUUUUGCUUUCACUUAUAGAUGGAUCCGCGCCGCAUUAGCUAGUUGGUAAGGUAACGGCUUACCAAGGCGACGAUGCGUAGCCGACCUGAGAGGGUGAUCGGCCACACUGGAACUGAGACACGGUCCAGACUCCUACGGGAGGCAGCAGUAGGGAAUCUUCCGCAAUGGGCGAAAGCCUGACGGAGCAACGCCGCGUGAGUGAUGAAGGUCUUCGGAUCGUAAAACUCUGUUAUUAGGGAAGAACAAAUGUGUAAGUAACUAUGCACGUCUUGACGGUACCUAAUCAGAAAGCCACGGCUAACUACGUG